GGGACUUAGGUUAAACUAAAACCAAGGACCUUCAAAGUCCUAAACAGGGGUGAAAAUCUCUUAGUCUCUG
RNAcentral lists this transfer RNA (70 nucleotides) under Scriptaphyosemion wieseae. Its description in RNAcentral is "tRNA-Trp". It matches the Rfam family "tRNA". Rfam says of the family: Transfer RNA (tRNA) molecules are approximately 80 nucleotides in length. Their secondary structure includes four short double-helical elements and three loops (D, anti-codon, and T loops). Lineage: Eukaryota; Metazoa; Chordata; Actinopteri; Cyprinodontiformes; Nothobranchiidae. The record is from RNAcentral.